Molecule: long non-coding RNA, 1283 nt
Filed under: Helianthus annuus (common sunflower)
Lineage: Eukaryota; Viridiplantae; Streptophyta; Magnoliopsida; Asterales; Asteraceae
Description: hypothetical non coding rna
Source: RNAcentral
GAAUCAAAUCAAUAAAAUCAGUUCCAUUUGAUUAUCUUUGUCUCUGAUUAUCAUUUACAACAUGGUAUCAGAGCAGGUUUCUUCUGAUCCGUGGAUGCUUUGUUCUUCAAUCUCAAAUCAGUAAGAUCAAAAACAAACUUUGGAAUAUCAAAUCUCCAACCAAAAAAAAAAAACCAAAACCCCAAAAACGUUCGAUCAAAUCAAUCGUUCAACAAACCGUUCGACCAAACCUUUCAAAUCUGUGAUUUCUCUGUUUCUUCGUUGCUCCUUCUUCAUAGGUUCACAUCGGCCCAGAUCGUCCAGAUCCAAAAUCAAAAUCAAGUUUCGAAAAAAAGGUCAGAGAUCCGUUCCAUAAUAACAGUCUUCGUCCUCACAGUCUUGGUUGCCCCCAACGAACCAUCCUCACGAACACUCGUUCUUGUUCCUAAAUCUAUUCAGAUCAUCAGGAUCAAUCCCGCUUUCAUAACCCACAAACCAAACUCAACAAAGUUCAAAUCUUUACCAUCAAAUCCCCAAUUAAACUCAAAAAAAAUCAAAGCUUCAAAGCUAAAAAAAUCAAAACCAAAACUAAAACCAAACCAAAACAAAAAAAACAAAAAAACAAAAACGCAAAUCAAAACUAAUGCCAAGACCUAAAUGGCCAAGUUGAAUUUUUUCAACUUGAGGGGAAACCAAAACCCAAAAUCGGUUGCCAUGUCGAAAGACGGUAACUCAAUAGAUCAAACUACCAUGUCAAGGAGACGGUAGCCAAACCAAAAACCAAUCAAAACCCAAAAUCAAAACCAAUCCAAGUUGAAUCAUGGAUAUCCCACAAUUCAACUUGAGGGGGAGUGUUAGAAAUAGAAAAAAAAUAAUUUAGAAAAAUAAAAGAUCCCUAACAUCAUCUCCAUAUUUAAGUAUUUCCUUUUAUUUGUUCUUGUAAAGCCUAUAAAUAAAGGCUCGUUUUUCCCUGUUUUGUAUGCAAGAAUCAAAUCAAUAAAAUCAGUUCCAUUUGAUUAUCUUUGUCUCUGAUUAUCAUUUACAACACUAUCAUAUAUAUAACAACAGAAUCGCUUGUUAUGUUGUAUUUAAGCCAACCCACCCCAUCAUCUCUAAGCAAUUUCUUUCUUUAUUAGUGUUGGUCACAUGAUAAUUUAGGGAUGAAUUGAGUACCAAGACAACUGCAUGUGAGGUGAGGAAUCAAUCACCAUCCUUUCUUUCAUUGUUUUUAGCCUUAACUUUGGAAUUUGGUCAUGUCUCAAAUUUCUAAAGAUGGAAACGGGGUGGGGUAUUACUAUACCUAG